RNAcentral lists this ribosomal RNA (253 nucleotides) under uncultured bacterium. RNAcentral describes it as "partial 16S ribosomal RNA". It matches the Rfam family "Bacterial small subunit ribosomal RNA", at positions 524 to 776 of the family's 1533-position model. The record is from RNAcentral.
UACGGAGGGUGCAAGCGUUAUCCGGAUUCACUGGGUUUAAAGGGUGUGUAGGCGGAUAGGUAAGUCCGUGGUGAAAUCCUGCAGCUUAACUGCAGAACUGCCAUGGAUACUAUUUAUCUUGAAUGUCGUGGAGGUUAGCAGAAUAUGUCAUGUAGCGGUGAAAUGCUUAGAGAUGACAUAGAAUACCCAUUGCGAAGGCAGCUAACUACGCGAAUAUUGACGCUGAUGCACGAAAGCGUGGGGAGCGAACAGG